CCUACGGGGGGCAGCAGUGGGGAAUAUUGCACAAUGGGCGCAAGCCUGAUGCAGCCAUGCCGCGUGUGUGAAGAAGGCCUUCAGGUUGUAAAGCACUUUCAGCGGGGAGGAAGGCGGUGAGGUUAAUAACCUCAUCGAUUGACGUUACCCGCAGAAGAAGCACCGGCUAACUCCGUGCCAGCAGCCGCGGUAAUACGGAGGGUGCAAGCGUUAAUCGGAAUUACUGGGCGUAAAGCGCACGCAGGCGGUCUGUCAAGUCGGAUGUGAAAUCCCCGGGCUCAACCUGGGAACUGCAUUCGAAACUGGCAGGCUAGAGUCUUGUAGAGGUGGGUAGAAUUCCAGGUGUAGCGGUGAAAUGCGUAGAGAUCUGGAGGAAUACCGGUGGCGAAGGCGGCCCCCUGGACAAAGACUGACGCUCAGGUGCGAAAGCGUGGGGAGCAAACAGGAUUAGAUACCCGGGUAGUC
Molecule: ribosomal RNA, 465 nt
Filed under: uncultured Klebsiella sp.
Lineage: Bacteria; Pseudomonadati; Pseudomonadota; Gammaproteobacteria; Enterobacterales; Enterobacteriaceae
Description: bacterial SSU rRNA
Rfam family: Bacterial small subunit ribosomal RNA
Source: RNAcentral